RNAcentral lists this ribosomal RNA (497 nucleotides) under uncultured bacterium. Its description in RNAcentral is "partial 16S ribosomal RNA". It matches the Rfam family "Bacterial small subunit ribosomal RNA", at positions 28 to 507 of the family's 1533-position model. The record is from RNAcentral.
GAUGAACGCUGGCGGCGUGCCUAAUACAUGCAAGUCGAGCGAACGGACGAGAAGCUUGCUUCUCUGAUGUUAGCGGCGGACGGGUGAGUAACACGUGGAUAACCUACCUAUAAGACUGGGAUAACUUCGGGAAACCGGAGCUAAUACCGGAUAAUAUUUUGAACCGCAUGGUUCAAAAGUGAAAGACGGUCUUGCUGUCACUUAUAGAUGGAUCCGCGCUGCAUUAGCUAGUUGGUAAGGUAACGGCUUACCAAGGCAACGAUGCAUAGCCGACCUGAGAGGGUGAUCGGCCACACUGGGACUGAGACACGGUCCAGACUCCUACGGGAGGCAGCAGUAGGGAAUCUUCCGCAAUGGGCGAAAGCCUGACGGAGCAACGCCGCGUGAGUGAUGAAGGUCUUCGGACCGUAAAACUCUGUUAUUAGGGAAGAACAUAUGUGUAAGUAACUGUGCACAUCUUGACGGUACCUAAUCAGAAAGCCACGGCUAACUACGUG